GAGUUUGAUCGUGGCUCAGAACGAACGCUGGCGGCAUGCCUAACACAUGCAAGUCGAACGAGACCUUCGGGUCUAGUGGCGCACGGGUGCGUAACGCGUGGGAAUCUGCCCUUGGGUUCGGAAUAACAGUUAGAAAUGACUGCUAAUACCGGAUGAUGACUUCGGUCCAAAGAUUUAUCGCCCAGGGAUGAGCCCGCGUCGGAUUAGCUAGUUGGUGAGGUAAAGGCUCACCAAGGCGACGAUCCGUAGCUGGUCUGAGAGGAUGAUCAGCCACACUGGGACUGAGACACGGCCCAGACUCCUACGGGAGGCAGCAGUGGGGAAUAUUGGACAAUGGGCGAAAGCCUGAUCCAGCAAUGCCGCGUGAGUGAUGAAGGCCUUAGGGUUGUAAAGCUCUUUUACCCGGGAUGAUAAUGACAGUACCGGGAGAAUAAGCCCCGGCUAACUCCGUGCCAGCAGCCGCCGCGGUAAG
RNAcentral lists this ribosomal RNA (472 nucleotides) under uncultured Alphaproteobacteria bacterium. RNAcentral describes it as "bacterial SSU rRNA". It matches the Rfam family "Bacterial small subunit ribosomal RNA", at positions 9 to 524 of the family's 1533-position model. The record is from RNAcentral. Lineage: Bacteria; Pseudomonadati; Pseudomonadota; Alphaproteobacteria.